UGAUAUCACAGAAGAGAUAAUCGAGGAUGUUUCAGGCUGAUCUCUGGAAUGCAUUCAAGGUCACAGUGUGACUCAGGCACUUGGUCUCACUGUGUCCCUAGCUUUGGCUCCUCUUCAGACUCUCACAAACUGAGCAGAUAGGAAGGCGUCAUGGAUGAAAGAGUCCUGUUCAACCCAGAUAUAUUUACGAUAUAAACAUCAAGGCCAGGUGCGGUGGCUCACUCCUGUAAUCCCAACACUUUGGGAGGAAUGAAAUGGAGGAAGAGGUACGUUCAACUACAGAGGAGGAAACUGAGGCCCAGAGGGGAAAAGUGACUUGAUUGACAAAAAUUGGAUUCUGGUCUUUGUUCUGCCAAAGGGAAAUAACUUCCAUGUCUGUUCUUACCCAUCAGGAUUAUUGGGAGGAAAAAUAUACAACACCGUAAAUGAAAACCAUUUUGAAAACCUUAUACCACUCUCCGGAUGCUGGGGAUCAGCUGCACAUGCUGCCAGAAUCUUAGACUGUAGUGCAAGAACAACCAUAUUGCUGGAAGUGAAAUUUGCAGUCUGCUCUAUCAGAUGGUUUCUGCGCAUGGUCUGUUACUAUGUUCAAAGCAUUAAACUGCCUGAAAGUGGAUUAUUUACAGAGCUUCUCUCUUCCCAGAGCUGCUGAUAGGUGGCAAUUCAGCCUCUUCACCCUAAUGCACACUUCCUCACUUUCCACCGAGACUCUUUGUUUGCUGACAGCAUCUGGCUAUCCUGGGUACUUGCCUCAGCUGGCACAGUUCUCUCCAAUCCCUAGAAGAAACAGCCUUCACCUACACACCAGGGAUGAAAUAAGAUUUCAGCUCAAAGCUAGCAACCUUUCUCUGAAAUGGUGUCACACCCAGACAGAAAAAUAAAUGUGCGUUUCUUCUUAGAUGAUGAUAAGUCAGUCUUUCAGGCAGACUUUUGACACAGGGAGGAUCAAGGUUUGACUGCCUUUGAGUAAUCCUUGUAGAAAAAACAGCACCUAAUUGGACAAAGGAAGAAAGGAACCAGCUGCUACUGUCAUAAUUAUUUAAGCACCCAUCCACAGUCAAAAACACUGCAUUGUUUCCUUACAAGUGAAAUUUGAUUGCCACUACAUUUCCUGCUGGCCUCCCCUCUAUGCAAAUUGGGGAGAAGAAAGAAAUUCAUAAGGCAUCAGAACCCAUUUGGCUUCUAAAUGUACUGUUUGCAUAUAGACAUCAGCAGCCUGAAUAAAUCCUAGCAAGGAAUGUCAAACAAACAACACUGGCUAUUUUUCUAUUGUUCUCCCUGAAAACAUCAUUUUUAACACAUUCACAAAGGCAAGCUGGGUUCUGUUUUAUCGGUGUUUUAGUAAAAGACAAGUGGCAUGGUGGUUCAGUUGUGGGUAUUGGACAUUAACGAAAACCAUCCUGGGAGAGUUCAGUUUAUAAAAGAUUAAAAUAAUUCAUCGACUUGCAAAAAAA
This is a long non-coding RNA of Chlorocebus sabaeus (green monkey), 1454 nucleotides long. RefSeq lists it as uncharacterized. The record is from RefSeq and is a predicted model, not a curated record. Lineage: Eukaryota; Metazoa; Chordata; Mammalia; Primates; Cercopithecidae.